RNAcentral lists this ribosomal RNA (504 nucleotides) under uncultured bacterium. RNAcentral describes it as "partial 16S ribosomal RNA". It matches the Rfam family "Bacterial small subunit ribosomal RNA", at positions 28 to 523 of the family's 1533-position model. The record is from RNAcentral.
GAUGAACGCUAGCGACAGGCCUAACACAUGCAAGUCGAGGGGCAGCACAUGAGUAGCAAUACGAUGGUGGCGACCGGCGCACGGGUGAGUAACACGUAUGCAACCUGCCUUCUACUAUGGGAUAACCCGUUGAAAGACGGACUAAUACCGUAUAAUACAGGGGCUCCGCAUGGAGAUAUUUGUUAAAGAUUUAUUGGUAGAAGAUGGGCAUGCGUAUGAUUAGAUAGUUGGUGAGGUAACGGCUCACCAAGUCAACGACCAUUAGGGGUUCUGAGAGGAAGGUCCCCCACACUGGUACUGAGACACGGACCAGACUCCUACGGGAGGCAGCAGUGAGGAAUAUUGGUCAAUGGACGAGAGUCUGAACCAGCCAAGUCGCGUGAAGGAAGACGGUUCUAUGAAUUGUAAACUUCUUUUGUGCAGGAAUAAAGUGGGUUACGUGUAACCUUUUGUAUGUACUGUACGAAUAAGGAUCGGCUAACUCCGUGCCAGCCGCCGCUGUAA